Molecule: long non-coding RNA, 810 nt
Filed under: Pan troglodytes (chimpanzee)
Lineage: Eukaryota; Metazoa; Chordata; Mammalia; Primates; Hominidae
Description: lincRNA
Source: RNAcentral
ACUCAUCCCCAAUGUGUGUAGUUGUGGUUUUUCAGUCUUGAUGCUGUGUCUCACAAUUUAUUCUACUGAUGAUGGACAUGUGAGUUGUUUCUGGUUUUUGCAUGGAUGUUUUAUAUGUGUUUCUUGGUGAAUAUACAUUUCUCUAUUUAUAUUCACAAGAAUAUAUACCAAGAGCCCUAAUUUGUUUAGAACUGUAAUGUGCACAGUUAAAACAACUUGUCCUCCCAGGACCUUUUGCAGUUAGGGUUGGUCGUGUGACAUGGUCCUGCGAAGAAGAUACGGAUAGAAGUCUGUGGGCCACCAGUGGAUUGAAUGAUGCCCAUAUGCACUGAGAAGGGCCAUGUGUUUACUCGGUCUACCAAUUCAAAUGUUAAUCUCAUCCAAAAACACCCUCACAGAUACGUUUGGAAUGAUGUUUAACCAAAUAUUUGGGUACCGUCUUCCCCAGUGAAGUUGACACAAAAUUAACCAUCACAGCUGCCUUCCUCUGGGCCUCAUGUUAUAUGAGAACAGUAUUGGGUGUACACUUAAAGCGUUCUGGGAAUAUGAAUCCCUUCUGCACCCUGGAAUCACCAGUCCAGCCAUGCAUGGAGCUGGGGAAAGCAGGCCCUGAAUUGUCUAGAGAGACUUGGUGGAGGAGGCCACGGCCCGCCUUGUCCCUGCCGGGUCCCAGCCAGGAUCUGAACGUCUAUGACACUCUUUCGAGCUGACACAGUGAAGAACAUGGAAGGAGAACUCACCCAGUCUGCCAGGGUCACAGAUGAUCAUACUCAAGAUCUUCCUGGGGAGUCAAUGGCAAAUUUCACUGGG